This 349-nucleotide long non-coding RNA is filed under the name Daucus carota (carrot). RNAcentral's name for it is "long non-coding RNA (DCAR_LNC005623)". The record is from RNAcentral. Lineage: Eukaryota; Viridiplantae; Streptophyta; Magnoliopsida; Apiales; Apiaceae.
UCUCUUUCUUCACCAGCUCUCUAUGAGUUGCUGUCCAACACCUGAUGAUCGUCACGGACGUGGUAUGACUUCUGACUAGCAUAUUAUUUUAAUAUCUAUUUGCUAGAGUCAUAUUUGGUAUUCAAAUCAUUACCUCUUAUGAUACAAGGCACACACAAUUCAACUAUCUGUGCUGUGAUACCAUGAUUAUAUUAUAUGUGGACUAACGUCACUUGUGCAAGAUAAUUGCUAAGUGAAUGCAGAUUAGUGAUAUGAUGAGUUUGUUGGAAAGUUGCAAUUCUUUAUGGUCUACUAGUUAGCCUAAAGAAUGAUGGCAAUAAAAGGAAGUCAAGGAUCUUUUGAAUAUGCG